CCCCAAAGUGUUGAGUUCAGUGCAGGGUCCUACUCCUGUUCUGGUAAUUAUACUUUGGGAAAGUGAAAGGCCAGGGGUUUUUGUACAUGGUGGCUGUGUAUGUGUCUGCUCCCACCAGGAGACCCCAGGCUAACAGUU
Molecule: small nucleolar RNA, 138 nt
Organism: Amblyraja radiata (thorny skate)
Lineage: Eukaryota; Metazoa; Chordata; Chondrichthyes; Rajiformes; Rajidae
Source: RefSeq, a predicted model, not a curated record